RNAcentral lists this ribosomal RNA (253 nucleotides) under uncultured bacterium. RNAcentral describes it as "partial 16S ribosomal RNA". It matches the Rfam family "Bacterial small subunit ribosomal RNA", at positions 524 to 776 of the family's 1533-position model. The record is from RNAcentral.
UACGUAGGGGGCAAGCGUUGUCCGGAAUCAUUGGGCGUAAAGCGCGUGUAGGCGGUCCGGUAAGUCCGCUGUGAAAGUCGGGGGCUUAACCCUCGGAUGCCGGUGGAUACUGUCGGGCUUGAGUACGGAAGAGGCGAGUGGAAUUCCUGGUGUAGCGGUGAAAUGCGCAGAUAUCAGGAGGAACACCAAUUGCGAAGGCAGCUCGCUGGGACGUUACUGACGCUGAGGAGCGAAAGCAUGGGGAGCGAGCAGG